AUUGAACGCUGGCGGCAGGCCUAACACAUGCAAGUCGAACGAGUGGCGGACGGGUGAGUAAUGCUUGGGAAUCUGGCUUAUGGCGGGGGAUAACUACGGGAAACUUUAGCUAAUACCGCGUACCAUAGGAUGAACCAAAGUGGGAUUAGGGAGUUGGUGAGGUAAAGGCUCACCAAGACGACGAUCUCUAGCGGGUCUGAGAGGAUGACCAGCCACACUGGGACUGAGAAACGGCCCAGACUCCUACGGGAGGCAGCAGUGGGGAAUAUUGCGCAAUGGGGGCAACCUGACGCAGCCAUGCCGCGUGAAUGAAGAAGGCCUUCGGGUUGUAAAGUUCUUUCGGUAGCGAGGCGUUAACUACAGAAGAAGCACCGGCUAACUCCGUGCCAGCAGCGCGGUAAUUC
RNAcentral lists this ribosomal RNA (404 nucleotides) under uncultured bacterium. Its description in RNAcentral is "partial 16S ribosomal RNA". It matches the Rfam family "Bacterial small subunit ribosomal RNA", at positions 30 to 526 of the family's 1533-position model. The record is from RNAcentral.